AAGUGAAAUCAUCACUUUUGUUCCAUAAGUCAGGUUGAACGAUGAUUCUUCCAUCAGUAUAUGAGGAGUUGUUCGAUAUGUCCAUAAGAUCGGAUACAAUUCUUUCACCCAAAGGCCUUUAGCUUCAUUCAGUCUGGUUUUCAGACCAUGUAGGAUUAUUUGGUUUGUUACUUCUACAUCAUCUUGGAUUGUGAAUGGCU
Molecule: long non-coding RNA, 200 nt
Filed under: Elaeis guineensis (African oil palm)
Lineage: Eukaryota; Viridiplantae; Streptophyta; Magnoliopsida; Arecales; Arecaceae
Description: long non-coding RNA (EGUI_LNC023395)
Source: RNAcentral